Molecule: ribosomal RNA, 512 nt
Filed under: uncultured bacterium
Lineage: Bacteria
Description: partial 16S ribosomal RNA
Rfam family: Bacterial small subunit ribosomal RNA
Source: RNAcentral
GAUGAACGCUGGCGGCGUGCCUAAUACAUGCCAGUCGAACGAAACUUCUUUAUCACCGAGUGCUUGCACUCACCGAUAAAGAGUUGAGUGGCGAACGGGUGAGUAACACGUGGGCAACCUGCCCAAAAGAGGGGGAUAACACUUGGAGACAGGUGCUAAUACCGCAUAACCAUAGUUACCGCAUGGUAACUAUGUAAAAGGUGGCUAUACUACCGCUUUUGGAUGGGCCCGCGGCGCAUUAGCUAGUUGGUAGGGUAAAGGCUUACCAAGGCAAUGAUGCGUAGCCGAAUUGAGAGGUUGAUCGGCCACAUUGGGACUGAGACACGGCCCAAACUCCUACGGGAGGCAGCAGUAGGGAAUCUUCCACAAUGGGCGAAAGCCUGAUGGAGCAACGCCGCGUGGGUGAAGAAGGUCUUCGGAUCGUAAAACCCUGUUGUUAGAGAAGAAAGUGCGUGAGAGUAACUGUUCACGUUUCGACGGUAUCUAACCAGAAAGCCACGGCUAACUACGUG